This is a non-coding RNA of Trichuris trichiura (human whipworm), 213 nucleotides long. The record is from Rfam. NCBI's taxonomy places the organism in Eukaryota, Metazoa, Nematoda, Enoplea, Trichinellida, Trichuridae.
AGUCAGACGAUGAUCAAGAGGAGUAUAUGAGGAUUAAAGUUCUAGAGAGAAGAUGCACGGCUGAAACAUCUUUACUUUGACUCAUAGAAGGUAGCUUGGGAGUUUUGCGAUCUGAAAGAAGUAAGAACGCACGGUACAUGUCCGUUACACAUGUUCGAGCGGCAGAGUCUUUUUCUGCAAUUUAGGUGGUACCGCGUAAUUUACGUCCUAGAA